ACUCCUACGGGAGGCAGCAGUGGGGAAUAUUGGACAAUGGGCGCAAGCCUGAUCCAGCCAUGCCGCGUGAGUGAUGAAGGCCCUAGGGUUGUAAAGCUCUUUUGUGCGGGAAGAUAAUGACGGUACCGCAAGAAUAAGCCCCGGCUAACUUCGUGCCAGCAGCCGCGGUAAUACGAAGGGGGCUAGCGUUGCUCGGAAUCACUGGGCGUAAAGGGUGCGUAGGCGGGUCUUUAAGUCAGGGGUGAAAUCCUGGAGCUCAACUCCAGAACUGCCUUUGAUACUGAGGAUCUUGAGUUCGGGAGAGGUGAGUGGAACUGCGAGUGUAGCGGUGAAAUGCGUAGAGAUC
This 346-nucleotide ribosomal RNA is filed under the name uncultured bacterium. RNAcentral describes it as "bacterial SSU rRNA". It matches the Rfam family "Bacterial small subunit ribosomal RNA", at positions 335 to 698 of the family's 1533-position model. The record is from RNAcentral.